Molecule: ribosomal RNA, 265 nt
Filed under: uncultured bacterium
Lineage: Bacteria
Description: partial 16S ribosomal RNA
Rfam family: Bacterial small subunit ribosomal RNA
Source: RNAcentral
UGGGGAAUAUUGCACAAUGGGCUCAAGCCUGAUGCAGCCAUGCCGCGUGUGUGAAGAAGGCCUUCGGGUUGUAAAGCACUUUCAGCGAGGAGGAAGGGUAGUGUGUUAAUAGCACAUUGCAUUGACGUUACUCGCAGAAGAAGCACCGGCUAACUCCGUGCCAGCAGCCGCGGUAAUACGGAGGGUGCAAGCGUUAAUCGGAAUUACUGGGCGUAAAGCGCACGCAGGCGGUUUGUUAAGUCAGAUGUGAAAUCCCCGCGCUUAA